CCGAACCCACUGACUUUGAAAAGUCAGGGGAUGACUUGUGGCUGGGGGUGAAAGGCCAAUCAAACCGGGAGAUAGCUGGUUCUCCCCGAAAACUAUUUAGGUAGUGCCUCGGACGAACACCAUUGGGGGUAGAGCACUGUUAAGGCUAGGGGGUCAUCCCGACUUACCAACCCUUUGCAAACUCCGAAUACCAAUGAGUGCUAUCCGGGAGACACACGGCGGGUGCUAACGUCCGUCGUGAAGAGGGAAACAACCCAGACCGCCAGCUAAGGUCCCAAAAUAUUGCUAAGUGGGAAACGAUGUGGGAAGGCUAAGACAGCCAGGA
This 325-nucleotide ribosomal RNA is filed under the name Skeletonema marinoi. RNAcentral's name for it is "partial Bacterial large subunit ribosomal RNA". It matches the Rfam family "Bacterial large subunit ribosomal RNA", at positions 774 to 1098 of the family's 2925-position model. The record is from RNAcentral. Lineage: Eukaryota; Bacillariophyta; Thalassiosirophyceae; Thalassiosirales; Thalassiosiraceae.